CUUCUCCAAAAGACUUUACCUUCAUCUAUGUCACUUUUCAUUUCUCAUCUCACUCAUUCAUAAUUACGAUAACUGAUCUUAAAAAAAAAAAAGCGAAGAAAAUCCGGUCAUCCACCGCCAGAAAAGCCAACGGCUUCGUUCAGAUCCACUGUCAGCAACAAAUUACGCCCAGAUCCACCACCACCACCAACUUCCGACUACAUCCACCAUCACAAAAAGUUCUCUGAUUUUGUUAAGGUUUUCUGCCAGACGAGAUUCUUCGACGUUUUUACCCAUUUUAGAGUUUUGUCAAGAUUUUUGUUAAAAAAAGGAAGCUUUUGACACGGUUCACAACGGUUCGAUAACCGAUCUGGUUCACUUUCGACCGGACGGUCAUACGGUUCUUUCCGGUUCAGUUUCUGCUAUUAGACCGGGAUCAUUUCGACCGGGAUUCACUAAAAAUCCGGUCAAACCGCGGUCAGAUCGGUCUGACCGGCCGGUUUGAAAACACUGGGCUUUAGUGAACAAAGAAACACAGGUGCUAAAUAGUGAAAGGAACUUGAAAGGUUACUGAAUGCAGGGUUAAUGAGUUAAAAACUUAGAUUGAAGAGCUACACUAGUCACUAGAGGCUAAGUUUUCUUUAAUUUUAUUUUAAACCAGCAUCGUAUUAUGACCCCGGCCCAGUUGCCAGAUAGAAAAGGCUAAAGUGAGGCUCUUGGGCUUCUUGAUACACAUUAGACAUAUUAGGCUCUUGGGCUUCUUGGCCUUUUGGGCUAUA
This is a long non-coding RNA of Erigeron canadensis, 758 nucleotides long. RefSeq lists it as uncharacterized. The transcript is spliced from 2 exons. Lineage: Eukaryota; Viridiplantae; Streptophyta; Magnoliopsida; Asterales; Asteraceae. The record is from RefSeq and is a predicted model, not a curated record.